RNAcentral lists this transfer RNA (73 nucleotides) under Haematococcus lacustris. RNAcentral's name for it is "Haematococcus pluvialis tRNA". It matches the Rfam family "tRNA". From Rfam's summary of the family: Transfer RNA (tRNA) molecules are approximately 80 nucleotides in length. Lineage: Eukaryota; Viridiplantae; Chlorophyta; Chlorophyceae; Chlamydomonadales; Haematococcaceae. The record is from Rfam by way of RNAcentral.
UCUCCCAUAGCUCAGCUGGUAGAGCGCACGACUGUUAAUCGUAAGGUCAUGGGUUCGACCCCCAUUGGGAGAG